CAGUAGCCACGGUAAUACGUAGGUGGCAAGCGUUGUCCGGAAUUAUUGGGCGUAAAGGGCUCGCAGGCGGUUUCUUAAGUCUGAUGUGAAAGCCCCCGGCUCAACCGGGGAGGGUCAUUGGAAACUGGGAAACUUGAGUGCAGAAGAGGAGAGUGGAAUUCCACGUGUAGCGGUGAAAUGCGUAGAGAUGUGGAGGAACACCAGUGGCGGAGGCGACUCUCUGGUCUGCAACUGACGCUUAGGAGCGAAAGCGUGGGGAGCGAACAGGAUUAGAUACCCCGGUAGUCCCUGUCUCUUAUAC
RNAcentral lists this ribosomal RNA (301 nucleotides) under uncultured bacterium. RNAcentral describes it as "partial 16S ribosomal RNA". It matches the Rfam family "Bacterial small subunit ribosomal RNA", at positions 509 to 807 of the family's 1533-position model. The record is from RNAcentral.